GAUGAAUUUUUAACGGGGGAUAAAAAGAAGGAAUAGGGAAAAUCUAAAGCAGUAAUAGGGUAAGAAAAACAGCACAACAAAUGGGGAAAAGUGAGGAAGAGUGUGUAGGCAUAAAGGUAAAGUUGAGAUAAAGUAAAAUGAUGCUAAA
Long non-coding RNA from Pipistrellus kuhlii (Kuhl's pipistrelle), 148 nucleotides. RefSeq lists it as uncharacterized. The record is from RefSeq and is a predicted model, not a curated record. The transcript has 2 exons. Lineage: Eukaryota; Metazoa; Chordata; Mammalia; Chiroptera; Vespertilionidae.